RNAcentral lists this ribosomal RNA (747 nucleotides) under Triticum aestivum (bread wheat). RNAcentral describes it as "partial small subunit ribosomal RNA". The record is from RNAcentral. Lineage: Eukaryota; Viridiplantae; Streptophyta; Magnoliopsida; Poales; Poaceae.
AUGGCCGCCGCCGCUCACCUCCGUCGUGCCGCCGCCGCUGCCCGCUCAGCCGGACAGGCCGCCACCGCCCCAGCCCGCCACCACCACUCGGCUGGACAAGCCACCGCCGCUUCAAUCUCCUCAAGGCCUCGCGCCUUCCUCCGCCACAGCAACCCCGGCCCCAUCACCAGCUCCGGCGCCGUCUCGUACACACCUCGCCGCGCCCUCUCCCUCACGCCCGCCUUGGAUCCGCACCCCCUCGAGAUUCCCGCUGAGAUCAGGCCAGCCUUGGAUCCGCACCCCCUCGAGAUUCCCGCUGAGAUGAGGCAGGAACUCUCUAGGGUCGAGCUUGCCGGCAUCUCAUGCCACCGCAAGCUCGCCCAGGACGUCACCAAGCUCAGCGCGCGAGUCAGCAAGGAGAACAAUGACAUGAAGGUAAAGCCGGUGGAGGAUGUGAUACGCGUCGGGACGGUGGCCUGGCGCGUGUGCAGCUCUGUCCUGGCAGUCACCGUUGCCGCUGGUUUUGGGACGUACCAGAUCGCCAUUGACGGCUGGGAAACCGGCUUUCAAGAUGAAGCCUGUAAGGUCGCCAAGGAAAGGAUCGAGGAGAAGUCCAAAGGCCUCGAGGCCUCGCUCCUGGCAUCCGCGCAGCAAAACAAGGCCUUGGCUCUGCAGGAGAAGCAGCGGGUCGCCGACAGGGAGGCGGAGAUCGCGGCGAAAGAGGCUGAGCUGGCUGCGUGGGAGGCAGAUCUAGCAGCACAGGAGUAG